GCAGAGUGCGCUGCGUUUCGAUGAGCCGGGACGUGGCGCCGCUCUAGCCAGCGCCUGGGCUCUGUGGCGGGCGCCGCAGCUCCGCGUCCCCCGCGCCUCCUCCCAGCGCAGCACGGACGCCUGAAGGUGAAGACGUCAGAAGAGCAGGCGGAGGCCAAAAGGCUAGAGCGAGAGCAGAAGCUGAAGCUAUACCAGUCAGCCACCCAGGCCGUAUUCCAGAAGCGCCAGGCUGGUGAGCUGGAUGAGUCCGUGCUGGAACUGACAAGCCAGAUUCUGGGAGCCAACCCUGAUUUUGCCACCCUCUGGAACUGCCGACGAGAGGUGCUCCAGCAGCUGGAGACUCAGAAGUCUCCUGAAGAGUUGGCUGCUCUGGUGAAGGCAGAACUGGGCUUCCUGGAGAGCUGCCUGCGGGUGAACCCCAAGUCUUAUGGUACCUGGCACCACCGAUGCUGGCUGCUAGGCCGCCUGCCUGAGCCCAACUGGACCCGAGAGCUGGAGCUCUGUGCCCGUUUCCUGGAGGUGGAUGAGCGGAACUUUCACUGCUGGGACUAUCGGCGGUUUGUGGCCACA
This 570-nucleotide non-coding RNA is filed under the name Pan troglodytes (chimpanzee). The record is from RNAcentral. RNAcentral also lists the same sequence under 1 other name. Lineage: Eukaryota; Metazoa; Chordata; Mammalia; Primates; Hominidae.